AAAACAAGGGCGGUUGUGAGAAAGGGAAU
This 29-nucleotide non-coding RNA is filed under the name Mus musculus (house mouse). Lineage: Eukaryota; Metazoa; Chordata; Mammalia; Rodentia; Muridae. The record is from RNAcentral.